UCAAAAACAUGUCCUUUUGUUUAAAUAUAAGGUCUAACCUGCCCAAUGAUUAAUAUUUAAUGGCCGCGGUAUUUUAACUGUGCUAAGGUAGCAUAAUCAUUUGUCUUUUAAUUAAAGGCUAGAAUGAAUGGUUGGACGAAAUGUAAGCUUUCUUUAAUUUAAUUUAUGAAUUUAAUUUUUUAGUUAAAAAGCUGAAAUUUAUUUGAGGGACGAGAAGACCCUAUAGAUCUUUAUAUUUAUGAUUAUUAUUUAUUAUAGUAUAUUAAUUAAUUUAAUAAUUAUAAUUAUUUGAUUGGGGUGAUUAUAGAAUUUAAUCAUCUUCAAUUUUUAUUUUUCAUAAAUUAGUGUAUUUUUGAUCCAGAAAUUUUGAUUAAAAGAUAAAGUUACCUUAGGGAUAACAGCGUAAUUUUUUCGGAGAGUUCAAAUCGAUGAAAGAGUUUGCGACCUCGAUGUUGGAUUAAAAUAAGUUUUAGGUGUAGUAGUUUAAAAACUAGGUCUGUUCGACCUUUAAUUUUUUACAUGAUCUGA
Molecule: ribosomal RNA, 528 nt
Filed under: Atrachelus sp. 00051670
Lineage: Eukaryota; Metazoa; Arthropoda; Insecta; Hemiptera; Reduviidae
Description: partial 16S ribosomal RNA
Rfam family: Bacterial large subunit ribosomal RNA
Source: RNAcentral